CUUUGAAGCUUUCUGGCUACAAGAUCAAGAGUGCCGCCAGAUAAUAGCUGAAUCCUGGCUUUCCAUUCCAAGGUCAGACCCUACAAUGUCAAAGAAACUCAAGGCUGUUUCAGUUGCCCUUACCACAUGGAGUAAAAGAAAAUUUUCCAAUGGUCUUAAGCAAAUCAACUAUUUGAAAGAACAACUCCAACAUAUCACAAACCAACCCCAUAACAAUCAUGAUAGUGAAGAAGUAGCUCGCCUGCAAAAGGAAAUUCAUCUGGCAACAGGAAGAGCAGUAUUGGGCAUUGCGAUCUUGAAUUAAUUGGUUGAGAUGAGGCGACAAGAACACCAAAUUCUUCCACGCCUCCACUAUUCAACGUAGACAGAGAAAUCGGAUAAGUAUGCUACAGGAUGCAGAUCAGACAUGGGUUCGCGAUCAACAGAAACUAAAGGACAUGACCCAGAAUUAUUUCAUGACUUUGUACACAUCCAUGGGGCAUCGUGAUUACACGCCUCUAUUGCUGCAAUGCCCAUGAAUGGUUACGGAGGAAAUAAACAAUCAUCUCACACAAGCAGUUACUCAAGAAGAAAUUCGACAGGUAGCCUUUCAGUUGGGAGCCACAAAAGUGCCAGGACCAGAUGGACUAAAUGGGCUUUUCUACCAACAUCAUUGAGAUAUUCUACAAGAUGACCUGCUCAGCUUGGUACAAGAAUUUUUUCACUCUGGCGUUAUGCAACCUAGACUCAAUUAGACAAAUAUAACCUUAAUACCCAAAGUACCCAACCCGGAACGACUCGACCAAUACCGUCCGAUCAGCCUUUGCAACUAUGUGUACAAGAUCAUCUCAAAGGUAUUAGCAAACCGUCUGACCAGGUUGAAUAAGAUUUUCUACAAGAUUACAUGCUCAAAUUGGGUUUCCACUCAGUAUGGGUCUAAUGAGUCAUGCAAUGUAUUACAACUACUUCACUUAGUGUUAGAUUUAAUGGAGACAACCUCCCUUAUUUUCACCCUUCUAGAGGACUCAGACAGGGCGACUCUCUAUCUCCAUAUCUCUUCAUCCUGGUGGCGAAUAUCUUAUCCAUACUUAUCCAUCAAGCUAUGCAAAUGGGAAAUCUCAAAGGCAUUCAAUUAAAUAGGUGGUGUCCAAUCCUCUCUCACUUAUUGUUUGCUGAUGAUGCUAUCUUCUUCCUAGAUGGCACACUUCAAGAAAGUCAGAACCUAGCCAAUCUCAUAAAUCAAUAUUGCAUGGCAACCAGUUAGACUGUGAACAGGAACAAAUCAAGCAUUCUCUUUAGCAAGGUGUGUCCUACUCGUUUACAAGAAAAUUUGGCCAAAUAACUUCGAGUUCCUAUGAUUACCAAGACUGGUAAAUACCUAGGCAUACCAUAGACUGGGGAAGAUCGAAAAAGGAGAUGUUCGCUUGGAUAUUAGGUCGAGUGAAUUCGAAACUACAAGGCUGGAAAGAGCAGUUCAUUUCAAAAGGUGGUAAGAAAACUUUAGUUAAAACAGUUGUCCAGGCAAUCCCUCAAUAUGCGAUGUCUAUUUUUAAGAUUCUCUUAUCUUUGUGCAAGUCUAUUGAGCAGAAGAUUGCCAAAUUCUGGUGGCAAAAUACUAACACCAAGUCAAGUAUCCAUUGGAAGCGAUGGGAUUCCCUUACAACUAGAAAGGACACCGGUGGAAUGGGCUUUCGAAACCUCAUCACUUUCAAUAAAGCCUUACUUGGAAAACAGGCAUGGCGUCUAAUUCAAAAUCCUACUUCUCUAUGGAGUCAACUAUUUAAAGGUCUUUACUAUCAUUCAAAGGAAUUCUAGUAUGCCAACAAAGGUGCAAGACCAUCCUGGGGCUGGCAGAGUCUACUGACUGGCAGAGACUCGAUAUUGAACAAUAUACAAUGGUCUGUUGGAGAUGGGCAACAAAUCUCAAUCCGCGAAGACAGAUGGCUUUCAAGAGGAACUAUUGGCGGCCCUACACCCUUGGGAGAACCAACGAAGGUCACAACCUUCAUCUUACAAGACUAGAAUAGAUGGAAUGAACCUAUGCUGCGUAAGUCUUUUAAUGACCAUAUAGUUAAGGAAAUCCUAACUAUUCAGCGUCGAACGCAAUGCACAGCCGAUCAGAUCAUUUGGAAAGGAACCCAAAACGGAGUAUACAUAGUUAAGAAUUCUUACAACUCCCUCAGAGCUACAGCGAACAGAACUGAACUAAGCAGCACAUCAUCCUCCUACCAAACUCCGCGACACAUUUCGUGCAAGAUCUGGAAAAUGAAGACAUCCCCAAAGCUUCGUAUAUUUAUGUGGUCUUUAUGCCACAAUGUUAUUUCUACACGUGAGAACCUCUAUCACAGACAUAUAAUUCCAAACUCAACGUGUCAUAUUUGUCAAGCACACAUACUAGAAUCAACAGAGCACAUAUUUUUACUAUGUCCAUGGAUGUGGAAGGUAUGGUCUCACCCACAGGUUCAAAUCACACCGGAGGCAUAUCACAUACAAUGCAUUGACGCGUGGUUAAUAGAUCUAUUGGAAGAUAGAGCUCUCUUACUUGAUUUGGUGACCCUUGCGCAUCUUCUGUGGUAGAUCUAGAAAGCAAGGAAUAACUUUAUCUUUCGCAGGCUCUCCCAAGAUCCAGCACAGGUUGUUC
This 2620-nucleotide long non-coding RNA is filed under the name Eucalyptus grandis. RNAcentral describes it as "long non-coding RNA (EGRA_LNC003584)". Lineage: Eukaryota; Viridiplantae; Streptophyta; Magnoliopsida; Myrtales; Myrtaceae. The record is from RNAcentral.